RNAcentral lists this ribosomal RNA (498 nucleotides) under uncultured bacterium. RNAcentral's name for it is "bacterial SSU rRNA". It matches the Rfam family "Bacterial small subunit ribosomal RNA", at positions 361 to 877 of the family's 1533-position model. The record is from RNAcentral.
AUAUUGGACAAUGGGCGCAAGCCUGAUCCAGCCAUGCCGCGUGUGUGAUGAAGGCCUUAGGGUUGUAAAGCACUUUCGCCGGUGAAGAUAAUGACGGUAACCGGAGAAGAAGCCCCGGCUAACUUCGUGCCAGCAGCCGCGGUAAUACGAAGGGGGCAAGCGUUGCUCGGAAUCACUGGGCGUAAAGCGUACGUAGGCGGGUCGUUAAGUCAGGGGUGAAAUCCUGGAGCUCAACUCCAGAACUGCCCUUGAUACUGGCGAUCUUGAGUUCGAGAGAGGUUGGUGGAACUGCGAGUGUAGAGGUGAAAUUCGUAGAUAUUCGCAAGAACACCAGUGGCGAAGGCGGCCAACUGGCUCGAUACUGACGCUGAGGUACGAAAGCGUGGGGAGCAAACAGGAUUAGAUACCCUGGUAGUCCACGCCGUAAACGAUGGAUGCUAGCCGUUAGGCAGCUUGCUGCUUAGUGGCGCAGCUAACGCAUUAAGCAUCCCGCCUGGG